This 670-nucleotide long non-coding RNA is filed under the name Felis catus (domestic cat). Its description in RNAcentral is "lncRNA (ENSFCAG00000050639.1)". Lineage: Eukaryota; Metazoa; Chordata; Mammalia; Carnivora; Felidae. The record is from RNAcentral.
GCCGUUCUGUCUGCAGUGUUGCUUCUCUGAAGUUCCUCCGAGUCACUGGAUGGAGCACGUGGCAGAGCUCUGCGGAGGAGGAAGCAGCCUGGGUGCCUUGGAGCUGAAAGAAUGCCCACGCAGCCGAGACAGCACCGCCAGUGAAUUCACGGUCCGGGAAACCGAUGAACUGCACCGACCCAGGUUACUAUCUGUCUGCAGAGUUGAGAUGAAAUUAGAGCUAGUGAGUCUGGUUCAGUUUACGCUGGGUCCACAUCUAGGGCCAAGCAGUAAACGGAACAUGUUCCUGGGGUUGCAAAAAUUGGCUGAGGUUCUGCAAAACUAUUAUCCAACUGCUUUUGUUUUGGUUUGCCUAAUUCCCUCUUAGAAAACUCGCAAGGAAGAGAUUCGGAAGUGGAAGAGGGAGAAACAUUGGUCCUUAAGAAACUGCUAAGAGUUGGGGCGCCUGGGUGGCGCAGUCGGUUAAGCGUCCGACUUCAGCCAGGUCACGAUCUCGCGGUCCCGCGGUCCGUGAGUUCGAGCCCCGCGUCAGGCUCUGGGCUGACGGCUCAGAGCCUGGAGCCUGCUUCAGAGUCUAUCUGUCUCUCUCUCUCUGCCCCUCCCCUGUUCAUGCUCUGUCUCUCUCUGUCCCAAAAAUAAAUAAACGUUGAAAAAAAAAAAAGAAACUGCU